RNAcentral lists this ribosomal RNA (450 nucleotides) under uncultured bacterium. RNAcentral describes it as "partial 16S ribosomal RNA". It matches the Rfam family "Bacterial small subunit ribosomal RNA", at positions 354 to 796 of the family's 1533-position model. The record is from RNAcentral.
GUGGGGAAUAUUCCGCAAUGGACGAAAGUCUGACGGAGCAACGCCGCGUGAGUGAUGAAGGUUUUCGGACUGUAAAGCUCUGUUGUUUAGGACGAAAGUGCCUGUUGCAAAUAGUUACAGGUAUUGACGGUACUGAACGAGGAAGCCACGGCUAACUACGUGCCAGCAGCCGCGGUAAUACGUAGGUGGCAAGCGUUGUCCGGAAUUAUUGGGCGUAAAGAGCAUGUAGGCGGGAAUCUAAGUCUGUUGUGAAAAUGCGGGGCUCAACCCCGUAUUGCGAUGGAAACUGGGUUUCUUGAGUGCAGGAGAGGAAAGGGGAAUUCCCAGUGUAGCGGUGAAAUGCGUAGAUAUUGGGAGGAACACCUGUGGCGAAGGCGCCUUUCUGGACUGUGUCUGACGCUGAGAUGCGAAAGCCAGGGUAGCGAACGGGAUUAGAUACCCCAGUAGUCC